GACGAACGCUGGCGGCGUGCCUAAUACAUGCAAGUUGAGCGCUGAAGGUUGGUACUUGUACCAACUGGAUGAGCAGCGCACGGGUGAGUAACGCGUGGGGAAUCUGCCUUUGAGCGGGGGACAACAUUUGGAAACGAAUGCUAAAACCGCAUAAAAACUUUAAACACAAGUUUUAAGUUUGAAAGAUGCAAUUGCAUCACUCAAAGAUGAUCCCGCGUUGUAUUAGCUAGUUGGUGAGGUAAAGGCUCACCAAGGCGAUGAUACAUAGCCGACCUGAGAGGGUGAUCGGCCACAUUGGGACUGGGACACGGCCCAAACUCCUACGGGAGGCAGCAGUAGGGAAUCUUCGGCGAUGGACGAAAGUCUGACCGAGCAACGCCGCGUGAGUGAAGAAGGGUUUCGGAUCGUAAAACUCUGUUGGUAGAGAAGAACGUUGGUGAGAGUGGAAAGCUCAUCAAGUGACGGUAACUACGCAGAAAGGGACGGCUAACUACGUG
RNAcentral lists this ribosomal RNA (497 nucleotides) under uncultured bacterium. Its description in RNAcentral is "partial 16S ribosomal RNA". It matches the Rfam family "Bacterial small subunit ribosomal RNA", at positions 28 to 507 of the family's 1533-position model. The record is from RNAcentral.